This 321-nucleotide long non-coding RNA is filed under the name Homo sapiens (human). RNAcentral describes it as "HSALNT0228368". Lineage: Eukaryota; Metazoa; Chordata; Mammalia; Primates; Hominidae. The record is from RNAcentral.
GGGGAGUGAGCAGACACACUCAGGAGGUGUCUUGAGAUUAUCAUCCGCUGAGGGUGGAGCUGAGGGUGGAAGGGGAGUGAGCAGACACUCGGGAGGUGUCUUGAGAUUAUCAUCCGCUGAGGGUGGAAGGGGAUAGAGCAGGCACUCGGCAGGUGUCUUGAGAUUAUCAUCCGCUGAGGGUGGAGCUGAGGGUGGAAGGGGAGUGAGCAGACACUCGGGAGGUGUCUUGAGAUUAUCAUCCGCUGAGGGUGGAAGGGGAUAGAGCACACACUCGGAAGGUGUCUUGAGGCUCAGGGAGUUAUCAAUUAUAGAAUGUUGUUG